CCUACGGGAGGCAGCAGUGGGGAAUCUUGCGCAAUGGGCGAAAGCCUGACGCAGCAACGCCGCGUGUGGGACGAAGGCUCUCGGGUUGUAAACCACUUUCAGCAGGAACGAAAUUGACGGUACCUGCAGAAGAAGCACCGGCCAACUACGUGCCAGCAGCCGCGGUAAUACGUAGGGUGCAAGCGUUGUCCGGAUUUAUUGGGCGUAAAGAGCUCGUAGGCGGCUUUGUAAGUCGGGUGUGAAAACCCCAGGCUCAACCUGGGGACGCCACUCGAUACUGCAAUAGCUAGAGUUUGGUAGGGGAUCACGGAAUUCCUGGUGUAGCGGUGAAAUGCGCAGAUAUCAGGAGGAACACCGGCGGCGAAGGCGGUGAUCUGGGCCAAUACUGACGCUGAGGAGCGAAAGCGUGGGGAGCAAACAGGAUUAGAUACCCUGGUAGUCCACGCCGUAAACGUUAGGCGACUAGGUGUGGGCCGUUUAUCAACGAGGUACCGUGCCGCAGCUAACGCAGUAAGUAGCCCGCCCUCGGGGACGGUACGGGUACGGCGAAGAACUAAAAACUACAAAACGGAAAGUUAAGAACGGACGNGAGACGUAGCCGAACGGACGACGACGAACGGGAGUAGGAG
Molecule: ribosomal RNA, 629 nt
Filed under: uncultured bacterium
Lineage: Bacteria
Description: bacterial SSU rRNA
Rfam family: Bacterial small subunit ribosomal RNA (bases 1-524)
Source: RNAcentral